CUGCCGCCUAAGAAGAAAAUGCAUGAACUAUCAUGUAUCGCCAUUUUCAGUUAGCAACCGUUAUUACCAUGCUACCAUGGUACUGUGAGCGAAAUUUUGAUUUCGAAAUUUAAAGGUUGUUUUAAAACAUGGUGAAUUCUUGUUUCAUUUGUGGAAAAAUUCCAGAAGACAAAGAAAAUGGCGUGCGGAGCUUCAAAGCAGGGAAAAAAGUGCUUGAAUGGCAAGAAGUGAUUUCAAAGAACGGACUAACGCAGUGGUCAAGACUGUGCACUCGUCAUUUUGACCCUGGAGACAUAGUGAAAGGGAAAACGAUCCAAAAUAUAUUUUAUCCCAAUCAAGUGUGGAAGUUGCAGAUUGGAGCCAUUCCCAAGCACUGUUUAGGUAUUACACAGCCAGCACCUGCUGUUCGUAAGCCUUUAGUUGCUAAGAAUAUUGCUUCCAUCAUCAUUUCAAACAAAGAGAAUAAACCAGCUUGCAGAGGGAAAGCAACGCAACAAAAACAUGCAGGAUUAUCACCAUCAAGCAACACCAGUACUAUUUCUGCCACUACAUCAGAUGUCAUUUUCACUGGUGAUUCAAUGACACAAGCAACGUCAAUAAGUGGGUCAACAAAAAAUAAUAGCCACUUGUUGGAUAUUCGUGCUUGUCAGGAAAUUAAUCAGCAGUCAGCUUCUAUGGUAUUGCCGAAUCCUGUUGUAGCCGUGGUAACUACAUCAGCUGUGACUUGUGAUGGGGGGCUAAGGGAUGAUUGGCAACAUCCAACAACGGAAGCAACCUCAGCUAUUUGCUUACCAUUGCAUAAUAGUCCAAAGGUGAAUGCCCGUGAUACAUCUGAUUAUUCUGAUGUUCAAUCUGAUGUUACUACAUCAGCUGUGACUUGUGAUGGGGGGCUAAGAGAUGAUUGGCAACGUCCCACAACGGAAGCAACCUCAGCUAUUUGCUUACCAUUGCAUAAUAGUCCAAAGGUGAAUGCCCGUGAUACAUCUGAUUAUUCUGAUGUUCAAUCUGAUGUUACUACAUCAGCUGUGACUUGUGAUGGGGGGCUAAGGGAUGAUUGGCAACAUCCAACAACGGAAGUAACCUCAGCUAUUUGCUUAUCAUUGCAUAAUAGUUCAAAGGUGAAUGCCCGUGAUACAUCUGAUGUUCAACAAUUCAACAUCGUUGCUUCUGUCGACCGGAAUCCAAUUGAACCCCAUUUUUCUCGCCCAAGCAAACUCGGGAGUUUUUGCCAAGCAGAUGAAUGUAAAAAAAAACAAGCCAUACUGGAGAAAAUGGUGCACUUCGAGAGGAAACGUGCUAACCGUUAUCUAGAGCAGCUUAAAAGAAGUCAUAGGAAGUAAAAAACUGGGCAUUAAAGAUAUACUCGACUAUCACACAAAAUGCAGAUGCUUGCUGACAUCGUUACGGAUUGCAAAGGAAAAAUUGAACAAUUAACGGAGAACCAGCUUGAGGCGAAAAUUAAAAACCUUAGCGUCACGUAUGGGUAAAUUGAACCCUUUCAGGAUUGCCUCACCUAGCUAUCCCAUGACACAAAGGCUAACGACACUGGAACGCAUUUGACUUGUUUGAAGAAACUUAACUUUACGACACUUGAUUUUUCAUUUUUCACAUUUCCCAACCAUUUGUUAAUCAUUUCUGAUUAUGUAUUACCAUUUUUAAAAACUACACGAUUUCUGUCGAUCACAAUGAUACAAUCCUGUCUUACUUGAA
Molecule: unclassified non-coding RNA, 1710 nt
Filed under: Daphnia magna
Lineage: Eukaryota; Metazoa; Arthropoda; Branchiopoda; Diplostraca; Daphniidae
Description: uncharacterized LOC123472343, transcript variant X3
Source: RNAcentral